This is a ribosomal RNA of Candidatus Hepatoplasma crinochetorum Av, 1537 nucleotides long. It matches the Rfam family "Bacterial small subunit ribosomal RNA". Lineage: Bacteria; Bacillati; Mycoplasmatota; Mollicutes; Mycoplasmatales; Hepatoplasmataceae (SeqCode). The record is from Rfam.
AUUUUUGAGAGUUUGAUCCUGGCUCAGGAUUAACGCUGGCGGCAUGCCUAAUACAUGCAAGUCGAACGAAAUUUCUUUUAUUAGAAAUUUAGUGGCGAACGGGUGAGUAAUGUAUGUUUAAUCUGCCUCAAAGAGGAGAAUAACUAUUGGAAACGAUAGCUAAUACUCCAUAGCGUAAUAUAAGGCAUCUUAUAUUGCCUAAAGGUGCGUUUGCAUCGCUUUGAGAUGAGAACAUAUCACAUUAGCUAGUUGGUAGGGUAAAAGCCUACCAAGGCAACGAUGUGUAGCCGGACUGAGAGGUUGAACGGCCACAAUGGGACUGAGACACGGCCCAUACUCCUACGGGAGGCAGCAGUAGGGAAUUUUUCACAAUGGACGAAAGUCUGAUGAAGCAAUGCCGCGUGAAGGAAGACAGUUUUCGGAUUGUAAACUUCUGUUAUGAGGGAAGAAUAGUUAAGAUAGGAAAUGAUUUUAAUUUGACGGUACCUUGUUAGAAAGUCACGGCAAACUAUGUGCCAGCAGCCGCGGUAAUACAUAGGUGGCGAGCGUUAUCCGGAUUUAUUGGGCGUAAAGAGUGCACAGGUGGUUUAUUAAGUCAGUUGUUAAAGAUCGAAGCUUAACUUCGAUUCGCAUCUGAAACUAGUAAGCUAGAAUACAGGUGGGGGCAAUGGAAUUCCAUGUGUAGCGGUGGAAUGCAUAAAUAUGUGGAGGAACACCAGUGGCGAAGGCGGUUGCCUGAACUGUAAUUGACACUUAAGCACGAAAGCGUGGGGAGCAAAUAGGAUUAGAUACCCUAGUAGUCCACGCCGUAAACGAUCUAGACUAGUUGUUGCCAUUAAAGGCAGUAACGCAGCUAACGCAUUAAGUCUAGCGCCUGGGUAGUAUGCACGCAAGUGUGAAACUCAAAGGAAUUGACGGGGACCCGCACAAGUGGUGGAGCAUGUGGUUUAAUUCGAUGAUACGCGAAGAACCUUACCUACGUUUGACAUACUUGGCAAAUCCAUAGAGAUAUGGAGGAGGUUAACCAAUGUACAGGUGGUGCAUGGUUGUCGUCAGCUCGUGUCGUGAGAUGUUCGGUUAAGUCCGGUAACGAGCGCAACCCCUUUCUUAUGUUACUAACAAUUAAAGUUGAGGACUCAUGAGAUACUGCCUGGGUAACCAGGAGGAAGGUGGGGAUGACGUCAAAUCAUCAUGCCCCUUAUACGUAGGGCUACACACGUGCUACAAUGGCUAUUACAAAGGGUUGCCAAGCCGCAAGGUGGAGCUAAUCCCAAAAAGAUAGUCUCAGUUCGGAUUGAAGUCUGCAAUUUGACUUUAUGAAGCUGGAAUCACUAGUAAUCGCAGGUCAGCAAUACUGCGGUGAAUGCGUUCUCGGGUCUUGUACACACCGCCCGUCAAACCACGAAAGUCGGUAAUACCUAAAACCGUUGUUCUAACCCAUUUUUUUGGGAGGAAGGCGUCUAGGGUAGGAUUGAUGAUUGGGGUUAAGUCGUAACAAGGUACCCCUACCGGAAGGUGGGGGUGGAUCACCUCCUUU